Molecule: ribosomal RNA, 253 nt
Filed under: uncultured bacterium
Lineage: Bacteria
Description: partial 16S ribosomal RNA
Rfam family: Bacterial small subunit ribosomal RNA
Source: RNAcentral
UACGUAGAGUCCUAGCGUUACUCGGAAUUACUGGGCGUAAAGAAUGCGUAGGUGGCUUUGUAAGUUAAUGGUGAAAUCCCAGGGCUCAACCCUGGAGCUGCUAUUAAUACUGCAUCGCUAGAGUAUGGUAGGAGGCAAUGGAAUUCCUAGUGUAGGGGUUAAAUCCGUAGAUAUUAGGAGGAACGCCGGAAGCGAAAGCGUUUGCCUAGGCCAUUACUGACACUGAGGCAUGACAGCGUGGGGAGCAAACAGG